UACGUAGGGAGCAAGCGUUAUCCGGAAUCAUUGGGCGUAAAGCGCGCGUAGGUGGCCAUGUAAGUCCGCUGUGAAAGUCAAAGGCUCAACCUUUGAAAGCCGGUGGAUACUGCAUGGCUAGAGUACGGAAGAGGCGAGUGGAAUUCCUGGUGUAGCGGUGGAAUGCGCAGAUAUCAGGAGGAACACCAAUAGCGAAGGCAGCUCGCUGGGACGUUACUGACACUGAGGCGCGAAAGCGUGGGGAGCGAACAGG
This 253-nucleotide ribosomal RNA is filed under the name uncultured bacterium. RNAcentral's name for it is "partial 16S ribosomal RNA". It matches the Rfam family "Bacterial small subunit ribosomal RNA", at positions 524 to 776 of the family's 1533-position model. The record is from RNAcentral.